RNAcentral lists this ribosomal RNA (467 nucleotides) under uncultured bacterium. RNAcentral describes it as "bacterial SSU rRNA". It matches the Rfam family "Bacterial small subunit ribosomal RNA", at positions 338 to 799 of the family's 1533-position model. The record is from RNAcentral.
CCUACGGGAGGCAGCGGUAAGGAAUAUUGGUCAAUGGACGAAAGUCUGAACCAGCCAUGCCGCGUGAAGGAUUAAGGCCCUCUGGGUUGUAAACUUCUUUUAUCUGGGACGAAAAAAGGGUAUUCUUACUCACUUGACGGUACCAGAGGAAUAAGCACCGGCUAACUCCGUGCCAGCAGCCGCGGUAAUACGGAGGGUGCAAGCGUUAUCCGGGAUUUACUGGGUUUAAAGGGUGUGUAGGUGGGCUUGUAAGUCAGUGGUGAAAUCUCCGGGNUUAACCCGGGAAACUGCCAUUGAUACUAUAGGUCUUGAAUUAUCUGGAGGUAAGCGGAAUAUGUCAUGUAGCGGUGAAAUGCUUAGAUAUGACAUAGGAACACCAAUUGCGAAGGCAGCUUUACUACGGAUACAUUGACACUGAGGCACGAAAGCUGGGGAUCAAACAGGAUUAGAUACCCUGGUAGUCCACG